RNAcentral lists this long non-coding RNA (37936 nucleotides) under Lactuca sativa (garden lettuce). Its description in RNAcentral is "long non-coding RNA (LSAT_LNC007159)". The record is from RNAcentral. Lineage: Eukaryota; Viridiplantae; Streptophyta; Magnoliopsida; Asterales; Asteraceae.
AAUAAUCUUAUCAUGAAUGACUUAUUUUCAGUUUAUGAUGAUAAAAUUUACAACGUAUCACAUUCAAUACUUAGAACUUGACCUUAUACACUUUGCUCAACAUAAUACAAAGUGUUGUAAAAAUUACAAGCUGUUAACAAAUUUUCAGCCUUUCUACACUGUUUUUGAAAAUUCAUAGAAAAAUCAUACGAAGUCGAAAACUAAAUCCGUAAAUUCUGGGAGUUCCCAAAAUGUGUCUAGUUUACUCAUAAUUUUUAUCAUGAUUUUUAAUGACCUGCAACUUAGGUGAAAAAGUCCAUAAUCACAGACUGGUCCGGAUUGGUGUUUGAAAUGAUAGGCAGUUUUGUAAAAAUCACCAUAAAUUGUAGAAAAAUCGUAUGGAGAUGUGCAAGUAGUCAUUUUAAAGCUAAGAAGUGGAACUACAUGCACCUAAAACAGUUUUGAAAACUAAAAUGUUUAAGGUGUCCAAAACAGUCCGUGAAUGGAGUCCAACUUUUCUGAUGAAAGCUGUUAGAAAAAUUUAGUUAUGUUCUUGGUGUUUUAACUUGUAUUCCCCCCCUAAAAACUUAAGAAAACAUGAAAAUGUAGGGGUAUGAACUCACCUUAUGUGAUUUCAGUAGAUAAGUGUUGAAGAAGAGAAGUGUUCAACCCAAGAACACUUGAAGAAUCGCUUGAAGAUUCGAAGCUCUAACACAAAUAUAAUGGAGUUUGUGUAAGAUACCCAUGAUUUGAGUGGAAAUAAUUGAGAUAAUCUUAAAGGAAAUGGAUUAUGCUUACCAAAGGUGGAGGAAACUCUCAAGAUCAGCCCUUGAAUCUCGGAUUUCUAGAGAGAGAAAGUGAGAGAGAAAGGAGUUUGAUCUUCUUGUGAAAUGAGAACAAAUGAGAGAAAAUGAGGAGAGAGGAUGAAUAUCCAGCUCUCAAAAAACGUGGGAAGGAGUGAUGAUUGAGUGGAAAGGACAUUAAUGUGACCUAGGUAAGGUGGGGAGGUAUGGCUGGUCAUAGAGUGGGUGUGGGAGUGGUUGCUUGUGUCAUAAAGUAAAGCAAAGUCAACACUCCACCUCUUUGUACUUUUACCCACUUGCUUUUAUUAUUUAAAUAGAGAUUUUUAUGAAUUUAUGAUUAAAUUGUGAAUAUUUAGGGUUUAUUAUGUUAAAAUAUGAUUUUGGGUGAAAACCCCGCGUUAAAAUAAUUAAAAACGGGCCUUAAACGCAAAACUACGCGAAAACCGGGAGAAAAAUGUGUUCCCAGCGAGACCUCUCGGUCCUAGGCCGAGGUUCGGUCCCUAGGCCGAGGUUCGGUCAGGAGGGUGCAUGGUUCGGAAGCGAAGGCGCGAGCCAGAAGAAAGAAGCGAAGCGAGGCUGGUCCGAAGAGAAGCAGUCCGAGGCGAAGGCAAGGGGGUUCGGUCCGAAGUCUGGCUAGAACCGAAGGUACUGUUGUGAACAGUAAUGAACAGUACUUUCGGUUCGGAUUUUUCCUUCUUGCAUGGUUCGGUUCGGACCUCCUUCAAUGCCGGGUUCGGUUCGGAUGAACAGUGGUUUCGGUUCAGCUCAUGAACAGUACUUUCGGUUCAGACCCUCAUGAAUAGUGCUUUCGGUUCGGUUCAUGAAUAGUACUUUCGGUUCGGAGGGUUCGUUUCUUAAGUCCGUUUUUCGCGUAGACUUCCAUUCUUGGGCUAUUUUUCGCCAAUUUCGAGGGUCGGGAUGCCCCGAGUGAUUAUAGAAAGUCGGGGAGAGAUUUCGAGAGAGAUUUGAGAGAGAUUCCUCGUUCUCAGAGAGAUUUGGGAGAGAUUUGACGUACUUGGAGAGAUUUCACAUACAAAGAGAUACGUGAGAGAGAUUUCACAUACUUAGAGAGAUUUGGGAGAGAUUUGACAUACUUGGAGAGAUUUGGGAGAGAUUUGACAUACUUGGAGAGAUGUGAGAGAGAUUUCACAUACUUAGAGAGAUUUGGGAGAGAUUUCACAUACAGGGAGAUAGAGUGAAAACGAUUGAGAGUGUUUUUCGUGUGUGAUGAAUGAGAGUGUCCGGCUUCGCAAUGCAAGGUCCUUAGACCCCGUUGUGCCAUGUUUUAGGAUCUUACGCACUCCUAUGAGUAUGCAACAUUGUUUUAUUGUUUUUGUUCAUUGUUUAGCACUAAUGCUAAGGAUAUUUAAACACAUGAACUUUCCAAGUGGUGUUUUCUCAUUAAAAUAGUGAGUUAUACAGUAAUUACAUAAUAUAAACCCUAUCAUACAAGGUUUUAAUCGAGUUGACCGGUUUGACUCGUUGACCUUGUCCGGUUUAGACUUGACCCGAAUUUGACUAUUGUCACAUUAUAAUCCUCCCUAAUAAAUAAAGAUCUUUUUGCCACAUGUCACAUUUUCAUUUAUUUUGCCACAUGUAAUUUUGUGGUUAUUUUAAAUUAAUUUUUAUUCCACAUGUCAUUUUAUGAUUUUUUUUUUCAUUUUAUUAAAUUAUAGAUAGUAUUUAAAUGCAAAAAUAAAUGCAUAUCAAUUUCAUUAAUGAACUUUCCUUCUAAUUUUCAAAAUUACUAAAUUAAAGAUUUAUUAAUUUUAUUUAUUUAUUUAUCUUUUUUAUUUGUUUAAAUUUAAAAGAGAAAAAAAAAACACUUUAAUUUUUAUAAUUCAAUAUUUUUUCAUUUUUCUUAUAAAUUUAAACUUCUCAGAUGUUUAGACUUUUUUGUUUAGUUUUUUUUUAUAAAAUAAACUCAUGUAAUACGUGGGUCUCACACCUAGUCUAUCAACGAAAGUAUUUCCUCACAAUCAUUCUCAUGAAUUAGAGCGAAAACUUUGUCACCUAGGUUUUUAUGAGUGCAUACAUUCUCAUCCAUGUGAAUUUAUUAUUUCCAACCUACAAUCAUAAGACAAGGUUUAAGACAAAACCAAAUUCAAAUUUAGCUUUCCUUCAGGGACUGAAUUUCGCUAUUCUAAAUUUCUUGCCCUUUUGUAGCACAAGGGCCUACCAGUGCUUCCUUGUUGUUAGCAGCUUACCCACAUUGAUUAACGUAUUUUCACUGACCAACGUGCUUUUGCUUUUGUAGUUAAAUGAAAACAUAGAAGUCAUAGGCAUUGUCAACUCAUCUAGAAGUGCACAAAAAUAAGAAUGUGUCAAUCAAACACGAAAGUUAUCAACUUUAAGCCGCAUGCUAGUGAUAACCAAGAGGUUUAUUGUCGAUUGACUCUUGAAACUCUCAAGAUCAAUACGAUUCCUACUGACUUCUUGACAUAUAAGUUUUCUCUCAAGGAACAUUCCUUGACGAGCUAAAACAAAUAUUCAAAAGUUUGUGUGUAUUCUCGAAAAGAAAACACUUCAUAGAAUAAGUCUCGAUUUAUCUUUUAUUUUCUCGAUUAACGAAAACAUCACAACUCCAAUUUUAUAUGUGCUAGACUAAAAAAAAGAUUUUUACUCCACAUAUUUCAAGAUGUUUUCAACCUUUUUUAGUUUGGAAUUAGUUUCAAGAUACAAUUUAUAAUUAUUAGAGCAUGACUCUAAAACUUGAUUGAAACAAAGUAUGACUCGUCUUAUGAUCGAACCAUUUCCAACAACGUUUAAUUCCUCUUCUUAGUCAUAUAAUUGCACUAAGAUGUUCUUGGAGUAUUAAUUAUGAUACAAUUCAAUAAUUACUAAGAUGACCAUAAAACAUGAUACUAUUUUCACCCUUAAUUAAUUUUGGACGACAUUGAGGUAAAAACAAAGUAUAGAGUUUUAAGAAGAAAAUUGGUAAACUUAAGGGGCCUAUAAUGUAAACCUAACUUCACUAUAUUGUUUUGGGUCUUCUUGUUCGUAGUUUACUUCAGCACAGCCGGUUUCUUUCAAACGAAGGCGGAUCAAAGAUCUAGAGUCCUCUAAACCCCCAAAAUGGUAUGCAAUUUCUAGGGUUUUUAUUUUUCUCGAUCAGGUCUUCUAUUGAUCUUAUCGUCUUGUGAUCUAAUUAAUUCUCUUUUCCGAUUUCAUUUUCAAUUUGAAAGGUUCAAUCAGCAAAACCCAUAUCCAGCCCCGUCCCAGUCGUUUGGUACCCUUCAUUAGCUGUGCUGAUGCUCGCCGUUGGUCUUGUCAUCACCGCUUCUUUCUUCAUGUAAGUGGAUCGUACUUUUAUUUCACUCUGUGUCAAAUUUCGUAACGUAUCGAGAAAAUGUAGACAAUUUGCCCUGGUUAUACGAUGAUAAUUUAACUGGUUGACUAUUCUCACAAUCCGUUUGCAUUUUUGAUCGACUUUAUCAUGAUUAGUUCGUUAUAUUGGAUUCUGAUGAGAUGUGUUAAUUAGCCCCAAUCUCUUGAAACUUUAUAUUAUAGAUUUAAAGCACAAAAAUCAGACUUUGUUAUCCUUAAAUUACCCCCCUCGGUUACUGAUUACCGAAAAAGAAGCUUCAAUUUCUCUUUGAAGAAUCAAAUAUUACAGAUUCUAAGCGGAAUUAUGAUUCUAAAGAAUCCAAUGUUUCCUUCAAGACCUUAUUGGAAUAUGCAGACCAAAGAUAUAUGACAAAAUGAAUUUACUCAUAUACCUUUUAAUGUUCUUUUUUAUUCAAAAUUUCAAAUAAUCCAUGGAAAUGAAUUUUGUAACGACAUUUUUUUUCUAUGUUUCAUAACUUGUGCAGCUAUGAAGCAACAUCUUCCAGGAAAAGCCGUAGUCUUGCUAAAGAAGUUGUAACAGGAGCAGUGGCAUCUGUCUUUUUGGUAAGUCUCUUUUCAAUUGCUGUUCAAUCUUGUUUCUAAGGUUCUAGUUUUGUUGGAUGGAAUGGAAUGAGAAAGGAAUGGAAUGGAAUGAACAGGGUAAUGGAAUAAGCAAGGUAGUGGAAUGACUAAUGAGUCAUUACAUUCCAUAUCAUGUUUGGUUGGCUUUUAGGAAUGGAAUGAUUUAUCAUAUGAAUAUUUUACAUUAUGGGUAAAUAAUAUAUUAUUAUAUGGAAAGAAUCACAAAACAAACAACUCAUUUUUAUGUUUUUGUGAUGCAGGGAUUUGGAUCCUUGUUCUUGCUCCUUGCUUCUGGUGUUUAUGUUUGAGGAUGAUUUUUGUAUUUCAACCACCUUGUUAUUCUAGAACCCUAAUGGGGUAUCUUCUAAAUUGGAUCUUUUAGAAAUACAAUAUAUGUUUUCUACAGACAAUUUUAUGGUGAUAUAUUAACGUUAGCAGUUGAGGGAUUGUUUGUUUGGUAUGAUGGAAUGAAAGUCACAAAAGAAUGGAAUGGAAUAGUUCUUUACAUUCUGAUAUUAUGUUUGGUCGACUUGAAGGAAUGGAGUGAGUUGUUUAAAUAUGUUGUUUGUUAUGUACAAUUACAAACACCCUUCUCCAAUGUAAUGAAAGUGAAACCCAGAAGAAGGAAUCACAAUCAGCAUUCCAAGGAAUACACCAUUCCAUUCCGAUGUGGCAAACAUGCAUGAUUUUCCAAAUAUACCUUGAUGCCUAAUAUACACUUUUAAAAUACUACCAUACCAAUCAAAAGUUAUGUGAAACAAUAAUGUAACAAAUACAUGUAAACUUCAUGAACUAGAGUGUCAAUAAUCAACUACUUGGGACAUAAAAGUAAGGAAAACAAUAAAGUAUUGUAAAUGGCCUAGUUUUAGGAAUUAGGUAACUUAUAAAAACUGUUGCACUUUGUUGAUUUGAUUGAGAAAUAGUCUGAGUGUCAUGAUCCUAACCGACCACUUAUGUUGCACUUUGACUGAGAGGUACUAAUCGAACAACAAUUGAAAGUAAUAAUAAGACAAAUUUUCAAAAGGGGUCUAUAUGGUUUGUCAUUUUCUUUGGAUAACGUGCAAAUCGUUGAGAAAAUUAUGAAUUUGGUUAUUUGUGCGUAGUUUAAUUGCGAAUUUGGUUCCGUCAAAGAUAAAAAUACAAUUAUAUAUAUAUANAUGUGUAGACAGUGCUAUUAUGUGAGAAUGACAAAUAAAAUAUGUUGUUUGAUAAUGUGAAUACGUUCAAUCUUACAUAACUAUUGUCAUUAUAACACAUUCUUACUAAUUAAAUCGUCUAUAAGGUUAUUAUAGAUUUUUUUUAAUUAUUCUCAUUCUAUCAUAAUGUUGUCACAAUGUUUAUUAAGUUGUAUUCUAUCAGAAUGACAAUGAGUGAAAAACAAUACGUGAGAACAAAAAUAAAUAAAAAUUAGUGAAAAUGCAUAAAAAUAACAAUAGUGGUGUGAGUUUGAACGUAUUCGCAUUACUAAACAACCUAUUAUCUUACUAAUUUUCAUAAAAUAGCAUUGUCCACACAUACGCACAAUAGUUGUCCAUCUACAUUAUAACCUAGCCAUAUAUAUAUAUAUAUAGGGCUAGGUUAUAAUGUAGAUGGACAACUAUUGUGCGUAUGUGUGGACAAUGCUAUUUUUAUAAUAUUUCAUUAUAAUUAAAUAUAGAGUGGUCCCAACCCAAUCCACCCAACCAAUCGUAUCUCUCCUCAGUCUCACUCUCGCUCUCUCCCAUUUAUACAAAAACACAUACAUACAUACAUGCACUUUCAUUGAAGAACACCCCCUAUACUUUUUCUCUCUUUAAAUCUUUCAAUAGUGAUGACAUAAACAAACUUUUCGGAUCGAAACAUUUGAUGUCAUCCCAUCUAUACCUUUCUCUUUGUCAAGCUUCAUUGAGUUUGUAUCAAAGGGUUGUUUUCUAGAAACAGACCUUUAGGUACUUAAUUUGGAAUCCAAAAGACAUUUUUAUGUAUAAAUAGAUGGAGGCGGUAACAAAGCAAUGAUGGGCGAGUGAUAUUCUUCACAAUGAUUGGGAUGAUGUCAAUGAAUCCACCAUAAAUGAUUCAAAUUGUUCAUAAAAUCCCCUAUAGAUAAUCUUCAAAAAAGAAACAAAAACACCUUUACCUUAAUCAUAAUCAUCAAACUAAAAAGAAGUUGAUGUCUACGACAAUUAUGAUUCCAACUAUGUAAGUAAACCCAUAGUUUUGAAAUGAUGGUGGUGAUUUUGAUUUCUAAUUAAGAAUGAGUUUUUCUAUUGAGUCUUGAGAUGUUGCUUAAAGAGAUAAGAGACGAUUGUAGAAUGGUCAUGUUACUGUAAAACCUUAGUUGCACCCCUGCCUCCUAUAAUUUCCAAGUUGGUGUGAUUUUAUUUCCUACAAUCUAAGAUUUUUCAUAAGCUUAAUUUGAUUGAUUUUGUGUGGUUUUGUCAUUUUCGUUGUUGUAGAUAUUUACAACUUUCCAUACUCUAUAAGCUUAAAAUAUAUUUGCUUGAUUAAGGUUAUUUUUCAUUAAUUUGAUUUUGUUAAUUUGUUUAAUUCACAAGUUUGAUUUCUUCAAAUCAUUUCUUGAUUUGUUUAAUUCACAAGUUUGGUUGUAUUCACUAUUUUGAUUAUUUUUGUCAAUUUGUUUCUUUAAAUUGUUGCUUGAAUUUGUUUUCUUCAAAUUAUUUGUUGAUUAAUUUGAUUUUUUUCUUUUUGUUUUGUUGUUUCCACUCAAGAUGGAUUAUCUAGGGUUUAUUUGUGCAAGUGUCUAUAUGUGUGUUUGUUUAUGGUUAAUGCAUAUUUUGAUUUAAGAUGAGAAAGAGAAAAUAAGACAAAGGUUGAGAGAAAAAUAUAGAUAGAGAGAGAAAGAAAGGGAGAAGGGAGAGAGGGUUGGAGGUUGUAGAUCCAUUCUAUAUCAAAUAAAGUAAUAAUUAGACAACAUUACAUAAAUGUUCCCAGUGGUCUGGCAUAAUAGGCUAAUGCGGUCCAACUUUUAUUGUUAGAACGCAGUCCCUAUAGUUUAAGCUUAUUACACCGCUCAUCCAUUUGUUCUUAAACUAACCAUAAAGCAGUCAAAUUCUUAAAAAAACGACAUUUUACCCUUUUAUUGAUUAAAAAUAAAUAAACAUUUGACAUUACCCUAUUUCAUCGUCUUAUCCCUUCUCCCUUUCACCGCCACCGACUUUGUCAUUCAUCUCUCUCGCCGACAUCCAACGACGACUACCCAUCCUUAUCCUCGUCUCCUUUCCCUUAUUUCUUGUAUCUUAUAGUCACUACCCCAUUAGAAAAUCCUAUCCACCAUUACUUCCCUACCGCAUACCACCAAUGUCUGAAUCAUCGGCAUUGGAACCCCACCGCAUACUUCCGUAUGAAAACCUAUAUAUCCUUCAACCUAGAAUGAAGUUUCAGAGAGGCGAUAUGGUAAAAAUUUAUCCUACAAGACCAUGUUUUGAAGACGCUUAGUGCAUAUCAAAUGUCACACCCCCAAAUCGAGACGACGGAAAUAUUCGGGGGCGGAGGACGUCAUGUACAGUAUCAUAACAAUUGCAUAAUAGUAAAACAAGCAACAACAUCCAUUGUAUUGAAAAUAUAAUUAAUACGUUUGUGUUCUUAGUAUUGAUUGCAUGACACCAAAAUAUAUAGCAAAAUAAAAUACGAGUCUUGAAUAUGCCCCGUCUUCUCAAAAACUUGAGUGGGUGUACCUGUCUACUGGUUCUGUGAGAAUACAAGUUAUUUUAAAAAGAGAGUAUCAACAUUUAAGUUGGUGAGUUCAUAAGAAUUUAGUAUUAGAAAUCUAUCUUUGUUUCAUGAAAAUGUUAGUGUGUUGUUCCAGAAAAUCCAAUAUUUUCUAUAAUAAAUGAAGUGUAGUCUUAUGCCUUAAGACCAAAAUGUUUACAUGUUAUUGUACUCUAAAAUAGUAUAAGUGUAUGUUUUCCAUAAAUGUAUGCUUACUUUGCUAGAAAAUAGUGUAUUGUACUUAUAUGAACUCUAUUGUGUACAAGUACUGGAAAAUAAUGAUAUGUAGUCUUAUUACUUAAAAUAAAACCACUGAAGUGAUGUUUGGUUGGUAAAACAAAAUGUUUAAUUAAUGUUUAAUGUGAGUGAGAUUAUAACCAUACUAAAAUGACUAGUGACUUGCACGAUGUUCUUUAGGCGUCGGAAUGUUAUGACAUUUGUUACCCCAGAUUUGUCGGUCUAACUAUAGCUAACAACUUAGGUGUAUGAUUGUCAGUAUCGUAUAGAUCUAUACACAAAUUCACACUCUCCCUCAAAGAGACUCUGGUUAUACUUUAGGACUUUUUGCAUGUACUCUACUAGGUACCAUGAAGUAGUGGCUUACAUUUUAGUAUUAACUCGUUUACGUAUAGUUUGUACAUGUUUUCUUGUUCUUGUAAAUGAAUAGUGUACUCGUAGUGAAAAGUAAUUAUACUUAUCUAAUUAUUCAUGUGAUGUACCCUUGAACUAGAAAAUAGUGUGAAUUGAUCCCUAAACUAUACCUAUAAUAGUUUAUAAGUUGUUAUGUUAGUGCUGAAAAUGAUUAAGGAAAAUACCCCUUUGCUCGACAUUUUACAAAAGGUAUAAAAAUUGUUAUUGAAAUAAGUUUUAUACUUAUAUAUAUGUAUGUAUAUAUAUAUAUAUAUAUAUANGAAUUCAAGAAAUAAUAAACAAUUAAAUAAAUCAUUUAAGGGUAUUCUGGACAUUUUGUACUUUUUAAUUAAGGAAUCAUUUAAUUGAAAUCUUGCAAUUAAGGAAAUAAAAUUAAUAAUUUUGACCUAGUCUCUCUCUUGCAUCGUGUCUUAUAUUCAAGGAAUUACCAAGAUGAAUGAUCGACACCCCACAACAGAAUUGAUCAAGACCUUGAUUUCUUCUUUCUUCUUCCAGUCGACACACAUCACAGAUAGAAGGAGUCGAUCACUUCUUCGUUUUUUCUGAUGCGCACACACGAGAUGGAGAAGAGAAACGUACGACCCCUUUUCUUCCCUCCUGACGAUCGAUUCUUGAUCUCGCAUAAUCCUAAUCAAUAUGUGACGCUCUCAAUUCGUACAGGUAUAUUUGAAUAUUGAAUCCAUUUAUGCUUUUUUUUCUUCGAUCGUAUGGAAACCGAACACAGGAGAUAUACCCUCCUGUGUAACUCAUUUGAUGUUGAUGAUGCUGAAUUGCUUUUUUUUCAUUCAUGAUUCAUAAAAAAUAUGGUGAUUUCGGGAGCGCCCUUAAAGUGUUUGAUGAAAUGCCAAAGAGAAAUAUGACAAUCUCACAUUGUAUACAUGGUUAGUGAUGGAAUCACCGGUUAAUGAGGAGAUGCUGGUAAGUUUACAUGAACUUUAUUGAUCUUUGAUUAAGUUUUUUGAGUUGGGUUUUUGUAAUUUUUUAUUUUUUUCAGAAAUUCAGAGACACCAUUCUUUGAUGGCAGAGAACUUGUAGCUGGAAGUAUUGAUGAUUCAAUCUAUGUUUAUGAUGUUGAAGCAAACAUCUAUCCUGAUCAUAGAUUUGAUGUUGAAGCAAACUGACUUUUCCUUAUGUUUAUGAUGUUGAAGCAAACAGACAUAUGGGCUGAUCAUAGCUUUGACCUUGUUUACCUUUUUAUAAUAUUUCCAUUCUGAAAGAAUAGUUUAUUAUAUAAGAAUAUUAUUGCUUUAUUCUGAUAGAAUUUGUAGUUAAUUAAUUAUAUGUUUAAUGUGCAGUUGUUACAAGUGUAUCACUACAAAGUAUUUGACAAUGAAUUUGUGAUAGAAAUGGCUUGAAGAAUGGCUUGAAGACCUGAUGGGAAAGGCUCCUUGUAUAAAAUCAAUCUCAUGCAAUACAAUUCUGACAGAAUGUCAAUGUCACAAAAUGUCAAUCUCAUAGAAUGCUAGCAUAUUUUGAAUUGGCUUAGAGGUCAAACAUACACAAGACAUCUAGAAUGUUGUUAUUUUUUAAGAAUUAUACUUGGUAUUCUUUCAGAAUGUUUGUUAUAAUUCAAUGAAUCACAAUCGUACAAUGUAAUUAUUUGGUAUAUUAUUAGUUCAAGAAUCGAUUUUGUGUAUUCUUUCAGAAUAUAUUUACUAGUUUAUGGUUGACAUUCUGUCAUUCUGACAGAAUAAAAUCGAAAAAUAUGUUUACUACUUUAUGGUUAAAAUUCUAUCAUUCUGACAGAAUAAAAAUCGGAUUUUUAAUUUUAAAUUAAUUUAAAAUAUUUAGAUUUUUAAAAAUAAAGGAAUUAAUUAUCCCUAAAAAUCCGAAAAUUUCCUUUUUUAAUAUAGGUUAAUUGACUAGAAUGCCCUUAUGCUCAAAUUUGUGUGAUUAUAUGGUACAUGUUAUCCUAUUCUACUAUCAUAGACCCUCAGAUCAUGACCUUUGAUUAUAUUCCAUCCAAUGGUCCAGAUCUGUGCAUUCUGGCACACAAUAGUUACUAAAAACAAAAUAACCUAACCCUAUAUAUAUAUAUNNNNNNNNNNNNNNNNNNNNNNNNNNNNNNNNNNNNNNNNNNNNNNNNNNNNNNNNNNNNNNNNNNNNNNNNNNAUAUAUGUUUGUGUGUGUGUGUAUGUAGCUUUGAUAAACGCAACAAUUUAAAUAUUUGAAAACAGCUUAGAAUGGUUUGACAUAGUUUAUAAAGGUAUUAAAUAACUUGAAAUAAUUUGUAAUUGUUUUUAACUGUUAACACAAAAUACUUUGUGUUUUGCUGGUAUUCUCCCCCUAAAAACAUUGAAAAAUAGUAAAACGCAAGGGUAUGAACUCACCUUAAGUGAGUGAUCAAGAGGGGAUACGGUGUAGUAGUGAUGAUAUUCGAGUUAGAAUCCGUAUAAAUAUAUGUAUCCUAAUAGUUGUUAACGCAUAUAAUAUGUGUAUAAUUAGUGGAAAUGAUAGUAAAUGUGUUAUGGAAUAGUGAAUUUUUAUAAGAUUCAUUUUUGAAAAAGAAGUAUUAGAAAAUUACCGAAGGAAUGAUAGGCGUUUUCGGUGUGCCUGGGUGAUUUCGGUUGCUUGAAGAUGUGAAGGAUGUUCUUGGUGGAAAUAAGGAGAUUAGGGUGUUUUCGGUUGAUAUUAUGAAGAUUGGAUGGUGAUUUCGGUUGAUAUCAAGAACACUUGAAGAUUUUGGCAAGAAUCUUAUGAAGAUUCAAGUGUUUUCGAAUGAUACUUGAGAGAAAAGAUGAUGAUUUCAGACUAGUUUUUGAGAGAAAAAGGGAGGUUUUCGGUUAUAAACUGUGAGAAUGAGGAUGUGUUUCUGAUUUUUGAUUAUAUAUUGGAUUAAUAGUUGAUGUGAUAUAUGUAUAUGUGUAAUAUCACUUCGCAAUGUGUGCUAAAGGAUAGAAUUUAGGAGAUUUUGGUGUGGAACUCUACCCGAGAAAAGGAGAUUUCGUGCGAGAAAGGGUUUGCGGUCCGAAGAAAUCAGCUUCGCACGUUUGCGGUGUUGACCGCAAACAUGAUUGCGGUCCGAGGGGAGGGCAUCCAUGCGAAGGUUUUUGAUGGGGAUUUCGGUCCUCGCGUUUGGUUCAUAUUUUUGCAACACUUAUCCAAUAAAAGGUUUAUAUAUAUUAAAAUAUUAGUUUGGCCUUAAUAAAUUAAUAAAUCAACAAAUUUGACUUUUAUUUCGCAAGUUUGACUUUUGUUGACCUUGGUUGACUUUUGUUGACUCUUUACUGAUUUGAAAAUAACGGGUUGUCACAUCAAACAUCAUCUCAUAUUUAUCAAACAAAGAGUUCAUUAUCCAAUUCAUACCCUUAUCACCAAAGAUGGUUUUGGCUCCUUAGAGAGAUUGUCUUCGUCGAUAAAAUCUCUCCAGUUCCUCCUUAUAUUCUGGUAUUCGGUUUUUCAAAGUUCAAUAUUAUUGAUGCCAACCAUAGGGAUAUGGUGGGUGGGCAAGAUUAUCAAGAAAAAAAGGUUCGUAUUAUUUGGACUAUUUUUAGCAUCCAAAUGAAGAGAAUUUGUUUCCUUUUGAUUAAUUAAGGGUUCAUUAGGACCAAUUGGAGUGAGAUGAUUGUGUUUGGGUAUAUGAAAAAAAUGGGUAGAUUAUCACUUAGACCUAUUUUGUUUGUAUAUCAUAUCAACCUACUUUUUAUCUUUAUAUAAUAACAAUAAAAUUUAUAAAUUUACACAACAAAUAUACAUAUUUCAAAUUUUGUAAUUUUAUUAUACCUUACAAAAUACAACUCCAUCCAAAAUAAUUUUCGCCAGUAAUUUCAUCCAUAAUUUCACUAAAUUUAAAUUUGUAUUUUCUUUAUAUAAAAUUUUUUAAUGAUCCUGAUUUUUCUUUCUCCAAAAGUAUAUAAACCAUUUAAGUCUUAGAUAAUGCUGCCCCAUUAUAAUUAUUACUUUCCAAAAAUAUAUUCGUUUAAUGAGUAAUUUGAUAUAAUGAAGGAAGUAAAUGUUAAUUAAAAUGAUAUAUAUAUUCCAUAAUUAUUACAUGGGUUUAUUAAAAUAAUUAAUAUCAAGCUGUAAACAUUAAUCUCUAAAUAUUAUUAAAAGAUAAACCUUAUGAUAUCAUAUUAAAUAAUUUGGACCAUUGAUUUAUUUCAAUCUUAUUUUUUCCACCCUUACAUCAAAUUACUGACAUCAUCUUCCCCAUAUGGAUGUAUUUAAUUCCAAUAAAUGCUUUCCAAUCGUCAAAUAAUAACUUAUAUUCGUUGAAAUGGAAUGUAUUUAAUUCAAAUAAAAGCUUUCCAUAUUUAAAAUCUUGAAUUUUCGGUUAUGAAGAUUUUAAUAUGGUCAAUUUUAAAAGCAUAUUACUAACAACUCGUUUCAAUCAAAACAUUAAUAUCAAUCAUUAGUAUAAAUCCGUUUAUAUUAGUAAAUCAUUAAUAUAAAAUCUAUCUUUAUUAGGAAAUCAUUAAUACCGAAAAAUCAUAUUUAAAUUAUCACAUACAUAUACGAUUCAUCUUUGAAUCUGCGGCACACACUUAUUUUCAGUUGUUUCUUUUCUUCAAACAUUCUCCUACAAUAUCAUUAUUAUUGCUUAUAACUUUCAUCAUCAUUUUCUGCUUCAAACAUUCGCUCUUGUGCACUAGAAGGUCAGUACCUUCUUUCGUUUUUUAUUUUUUUUUUUUUCGAUUAUUUUUUUGUUCACAUAUCAAAUAUAUGUAUUCAUAUAUUUCGAUUUUCUUUGUCACAAAUUAUAUGAAAUCAGUUAACUACUUUUAUGAAACUUUUCAAAUAAACAGGAAAAGAUAUUACGUACCUUUAACAAAACAUAAAUUAACUAUUUUGGAAACUGACAUUAACUGGGAAAAUGCUACUUUUAUAUAUUAGAAAUGAUUAUGAUUUUUUUUUAAUUUUUAUGUCAUAAGAAUCCGGUUAAUUUUGACAUGAUUUUAAAAUAUCAUUGAAAUUAUUAUGUUUUUGUAUAUCAUAUCAACCUACUUUUUAUCUUUAUAUAAUAACAAUAAAAUUUAUAAAUUUACACAACAAAUAUAUAUAUUUCGAAUUUUGUAAUUUUAUUAUACCUUACAAAAUACAACUCCGUCCAAAAUAAUUUUCGCCAGUAAUUUCAUCCAUAAUUUCACCAAGUUUAAAUUUGUAUUUUCUUUAUAUAAUAUUUUUUAAUGAUCCUGGUUUUUUUCCUCCAAAAUUAUAUCAAACAUUUACGUCUUAGAUAAUGUUGCCCCAUUAUAAUUAUUUACAAAUAUUGUAUAAAGAUUAUAAAAAAGAUAUAUGGUUAUUGGUAUUAUUGAAAUGUGUAGAAAAUACAUUGAAAACGAUAAAUAUCUAUAAUCAUUGAAGGACCUUUUUGUAGACAAUAUUUUUUGUAUUAUUAGUUAAACGACAUUCCUCGUCUCAUAUAGUUAUGCUAUUGUUAUAUAAUAAUAAACAUUUUAAUUAGACGUUCUUUCUAUAAUAAAGUUAUCUAAUUUAAACAUAUAUUGACAACCAAUUUAUUUGGUGUUCGCAAAAACUUUGCAUUAGUUUUGACGCAACAUUGAAUAAUUUUAGUAUAUCAUUAAUGUAAUUUGAUAUAUCUUUUAAUUAUAUCAAAUAAAGACAUUUCAUUACUAUUGUGCUAAUUAAGUUUAUAUAUUGUAUUUUUACUAAUCGUAACGGUCUUAUUUUUCUAAUAACCGUAACGUUUUUACUGAUUGUAUUUUUUACAAAUCUCCUAAUAUCUUAUAAUUUUUAUCUUACUUUAUAUUUUUUCAUAACGAUGUUAUUUUCAAGAUUGACUGUCUUAAUAGUUUUUUUCUUCAGUAUACUCAAUUUUAUAUUUCAUUGUACAACAUCAUCGUUUGUAUGUAUUCUGAAAUUUCACUUUAAAAAUGUUUAAUGUUUACACCUUGAUAUUAAUUUUUUUUAAUAAACCCGUGUAAUAAUUAUGGAAUAUAUAUCUCAUUUUAAUUAACAUUUACGUCCUUCAUUAUAUCAAAUUAUUUAUUAAAUGGAUAUAUUUUUGGAAAAUAAUAAUUAUGAUGGGGCAGCAUUAUCUAAGACGUAAAUGUUUAAUAUACUUUUGAAGGAAAAAGAUCAGGAUCAUUACAAAAAUUUAUAUAAAGAAAAUACAAAUUUAAAUUUGAUGAAAUUAUGGAUGCAAUUACUGGCGAAAAUUAUUUUGGAGGGAGUUGUAUUUUGUAAGGUAUAAUAAUAUUAUAAAAUUCGAAAUAUGUAUAUUUGUUGUGUAAAUUUAUAAAUUUUAUUGUUACUAUAUAAAGAUAAAAAAGUAGGUUGAUAUGAUAUACAAAAACAUAAUAAUUUCAAUGACAUUUUAAAAUCAUGCCAAAAUUAACUGGCUUCUCAUGACAUAAAAAUUAAAAAAAAUCAUAAUCAUCUCUAAUAUAUAAAAGUAACAUUUUUGUAAUUAAUGUCAGUUCUCAAGAUAGUUAAUUUCUGUUUUGUUAAAGGUACGUAAUAUCUUUUCCUAUUUAUUUGAAAAUUUUCAGAAAAACAGUUAACUGAUUUCAUGUAAUUUGUGACAAAGAAAAUCGAAAUAUAUGAAUACAUACAUUUGAUAUAGGAACAAAAAAAUAAUCGAAAAAAAUAUAAAAAACGAAAGAAGGUACCGACCUUCUAGUGCACAAGAGCGAAUGUUUGAAGUAGAGAAUGAUUAUGAAAGUUAUAAGCAAUAAUAAUGAUGUUGUAGGAGAAGGUUUGAAGAAAAUAAACUAUUGAAAAUAAAUAUGAGCCGCAUAUUCAAUGAUAAAUCGUAUAUGUAUGUGAUAAUUUGAAUAUGGUUUUAUGGUAUUAAUGAUUUUCUAAUAAAAAUAGAUUUUAUAUUAAUGGUUUACUAAUAUAAACAAAUUUAUAUUAAUGGUUGAUAUUGAUAACUUGAUUGAAAUGCUUUGUUAGUAAUAUGCUUUUAAAAUUGACCAUAUUAAAAUCUUCAUAACUGGAAAUUCAAAAUUUAAAAUAUAGAAAGCUUUUAUUAGAAUUAAAUACAUUCCAUUUCAACGAAUCUAAGUUAUUGUUUGACAAUUGGAAACCAUUUAUUGAAAUUAAAUACAUUUCAUAUGGAGAAGAUGAUGUCAACAAUUUGAUCUAAGGGUGGAAAAAAUAAGAUUGAAAUACAAUCAAAGGUCCAGAUUAUUUAGGAUGAUGUUAUAAUGUUUCUCCUUUAAUAAUAUUUAGAGAUUUGAUAUAAUGAAGGAAGUAAAUAUUAAUUAAAAUGAGAUAUAUAUAUUUCAUAAUUAGUACACAGGUUUAUUAAAAAAAAAUUAAUAUCAAAUUGUAAACAUUAAACAUUUUUAAAGUGAAAUUUAAGAAUACAUACAAACGAUGAUGUUGUACAAUGAAAUAUAAAAUUGAAUAGACUGAAAGAAACUAUUAAGGCACAACAGUUACUAGAAAGUAAGAUAAAAAUUAUAACAUAUUAGGAGAUUUGUAAAAAGUACAAUUAAUAAAAGCGUUACGGUUAUUAGAAAAAAUAAGACCCUUAAGAUUAGUAAAAAUACAAUAUAUAAACUAAAUUAUCAGAAUAGUAAUGAAAUGUCAUUAUUUGAUAUUUCAUAUAAUUGAAAAAUAUACCAAAUUACAUUGAUGAUAUACUAAAAUUAUUCAAAGUUACGCCAAGACUAAUACAAAGUUCUUGCGAACACCAAAUAAAUAAGAAACAAACAUAAAAGCUAACAUAUAUAUUGAUAAUCAAUUUAAAAUAAACUAAUCAUGAUUUAGGAAAUAAUCUCCAUUGAUGAUAUACCAAAAUUAAAUCCACAUAACAUUUAACAUUCUAUAAAUUAUAUUAUAUAACUUUAUUUAAAUAAAUGAAAUAAUUGUCAAUAUUUAGUGCAGUGGAAAAAACGGUAUAUUGGUUGUCAAUAUAUGUUUAAAUUAGGUAACCUUAUUAUGAAAAGAACGUCUAAUUAAAAUGCUUAUAAUUAUAUAACGAUAUCAUAACUAUAUGAGACGAGGAAGAUCGUUCAACUAAUAAAACAAAAAGUAUUGUCUACAAAAAGUCAUUCAAUGGUUAUAGAUAUUAAUCGUUUUCAAUAUAUUUUCUACAUAUUUUAAUAAUACCAAUAACACAAUAUAUAUAUAUAUAUAUAUAUAUANNNNNNNNNNNNNNNNNNNNNNNNNNNNACGUGAGCUAUAAUCUAGUAUAAAUAGAAUAAUAGAAAAAGAAAUAAAAAUUAAAUACAUAAAAGAUAUAGUAGUCUUUUAAGUUUGUCAUUUUUAAGUUUUGACAAAAUCCAAUCCACAACUAAAUUAGGCAAAAAUAUUAAAUUCAUAACUUUUUUAAUGUUUGUUCGGAUCUUAACCAAAGAAGACAAACCACAUUCACAUUUUUGCAAUUUUUUACAAUAAUGAUAUUAAUUAAAAUAUAAAAGAAGGUUAUUUAUAAAGAUUAACAUAAUAUAAUUCUCCUGGUUAAAGUUUGAUACCAAAAACCAAAUAAAAAUCUGUCAUAAAAAACAUUUUUAUAAAUAUAAUCCUUUUUAGAUAAUAAACAAAAAUACACAACACAACAAAAAAAACAUUUCUGCAGUUUACCGUAUAUGUUACUAUAUAUUACUGUGCACUGGUCCAACUCGGACUGAGUUUCUCUACCCUGGUUGGUAGGUCCCUUACCUCUCAAAGCUUUUUAGAGAGAGAAAUAGGGUUUUAGAGAGAGAAAACCCCAAGGGUUUUAAACUUCCACAAAGAACCAAUAAUUCAAUGGAAGAAGCUUCGUCGCCAUUGUCGCAACCUAAAAAGAGAGGAAGGCCGAAGGGCUCCAAGAAGGUCAUCGCUGAAGAAAGAGAAAUUUCAAGUCCUAAGAUGAGAGACAGAGCUACAGCUGCCGGAAACAAAAAGGCCGCCGUUGUCGACGAUAAGUACAAUAACUGGAAGUUUGUAGUCCCCAUUCUGUAUGACUGGCUUGCUAAUCACAACCUCGUUUGGCCUUCUCUCUCUUGCCGGUAUGAAUUUUUUCAAACUUACGAUCGAUUAGAUCCCAAUGCCCCAUGAUUCGACUUGAUUUUUAAAAUGGUACAAAAAAAACCCUAGAAUGUCUACUAGUUUUUCAGUUCUUUCGAGCACUUCCAUGGUCCACUGGAUCAUUUUGUGCAUCGAUAGUUCAUAUAAGCUUUACUACCUUGCAAAAAGGCUACAGAAAACAUCGUAAUUUAUGUAGGUUUUGAUUGUUGCUUGUAUCAUUUGUGCAUCAAUUAUUCUGUUUAUGUGAAUAGAUGGGGUCCGCUGCUGGAACAAUCGAAGAACAAGAGUAGGCAGAGGUUGUAUCUUUCGGAACAGGUUAGAUUAGCAGUCUUCUUUCUCCUUUUUUUGGUUUUUAGUUUCAUCCCGCCAUUAAUGGUGCUUCUUAUUUAGACUGAUGGCAGUGUUCCAAAUACACUAGUAAUAGCAACAUGUGAUGUAGUGAAGCCAAAAGUUGCUGCAGCAGAACACAUAUCUCAGGUAAAAAGAAAAGUUUUUUUUACUCAAUUUUAUCAUCUUCUUCUUCCUAUUUCUUUUCAGUAUUCUUUAACCGGUUAUGUGAUUUCUUCUUUUAGUUCAAUGAAGAAACUCGCUCUCCAUUUGUAAAAAAGUACAAAACCAUCAUUCAUCCUGGAGAGGUAAAAAUCAUAUACACAACCCGAAUCAAUCAUUUAACACUAUCAAAACAUGUCUUUUCCCUCAUCUAUAUAACCAUUUUUACAGGUGAACAGAAUUCGGGAACUUCCACAAAACAAGAACAUUGUUGCUACACAUACAGAUUGCCCAGAGGUUACAAUCAUGAAUCACCUUGCAUACACUUUUAUGACAAUAACAAAGUUUCAUGUGAAAUUCCUAAAAUACCCUCAUGUUUAUCCAAUUCAGGUCCUCAUUUGGGAUAUUGAAGCACAACCUAAUCGUCAUGCUCUUCUUGGAGCUGCUGUAUCUCAUGCUGAUUUGGUCUGUUCCAAAUUAGUAUUAUUUCCUAAUUUAUAUUAGGAGAAUCAAAUAUUCAAAUGAAUCUAGUUAUAUUAUUUAUUUUCUUUUUAAAUUUCUUUCAGGUGCUUACAGGACAUGCAGAUAAUGCAGAAUUUGCUCUUUCAAUGUGUCCAACUGAACCUUAUGUACUCUCUGGAGGUGAAAAGAUUCAUAAUUCUUUAAACAACUAAUAUAAAUUUAUAACCAAUUAAAAAAUCCCAACUUUUUUUUAUAUUUUUUUUACAGGAAAGGAUAAACUAGUUGUUUUAUGGAGUAUUCAUGAUCAUAUAUCAACAUUGGUUGGAGAAUCAAACACAACCAAUUCUUCAGGGUCAAUUGUGAAAACUUCUGAUAAUGCUUCUCUUGGCCCACGUGGGAUCUUUGAAGGGCAUACAGAUACAGUUGAAGAUGUCCAGUUUUGUCCCACAAGGUAACUUUUAUAAAAUACCUACAAAUUUCAACUUUUAUAUAAUAAUUUGAUUUUUGUAUUCAACUUUCUGUAUGUUUGUAAAGUACACAGGAAUUCUGUAGUGUUGGAGAUGAUUCUUGCUUGAUACUUUGGGAUGCAAGAGUUGGAACAAAUCCAAUCACAAAGGUUUGUUUCAAUUUUUAUUUUUACAUUUUUUAUUUUUAUAUUUAUAAUUUCUUUAAAAUAGGUUGAAAAAGCACAUAAUGCUGAUGUUCAUUGCGUUGAUUGGAGUCCUCAUGAUGCAAACUAUAUUCUAACAGGGUAAACCCUAAAACCCUAAAACCCUAAAAAAAAACCUAAAUACCCUAAAAACCCUAAAAACAGUAAACCCUAAUUGUGUAAUUUUUUCAGGUCAGCUGACCAUUCUGUUUGUAUGUUUGACCGGAGGAAUUUGGUUUCUGAUGGAGUUGGAUCUCCUGUUCAUAAAUUUGAAGAACACAAAGCUCCUGUUCUUUGUGUUCAGGUAUUCAAUUGGAAAUUUACUUUUUUGCCCUUUCUUUUUGAUUUAUAUUUAGAAACUCUUUGUAUGUUUUGUAGUGGUGUCCAGACAAGCCUUCUGUGUUUGGGAGUUCAGCUGAGGAUGGUUGUGUUAAUAUUUGGGAUUAUGAACAGGUAAAAAAAAGUUCAAAGUAUUUUUUUAUUUUUAUUAUUUUUAUUUUUUGUUUUGGUUUAUGUUGACUUUGUAUAUAAUUUUGUAUUAUAUUUAUGAUUGUUGAAGGUUGGACAAAAGAUAGAACGCGGAACAAGAUCUGCAAACUAUGCUCAAGGGUUGUUCUUUAAACACUGCGGACACAGGUUUAAUUUUUUUUUAUUUUAAUUAGGAUUAUAAAUAAUUAAAACAUGUUACAUUAAUAUGAUUACAAAAAUUAUUGUUAUAUAUAAUUCAGGGACAAAGUGGUGGACUUUCAUUGGAAUGCUUAUGAUCCAUGGACUGUUGUGAGUGUAUCGGAUGAUGUUGAAUGCUCAAGUGGUGGUGGGACCCUUCAGGUAUAUUUAUUUAACUUUUAUUUAAUUUAAUAUUGAAUAUUUUGAAGAAGAGAAAUAAAAAAGUUGAUGGUGUUUGUUGUGUAGAUAUGGCGCAUGAGUGAUUUGAUAUACAGACCAAGGGAUGAAGUGUUGAGUGAGUUAGAGGCUUUUAAGGCUCAUGUUGCUAGUUGUGGUCCAAGGGCAUCAUCAUAGGAUACAGGAUGACUGUUUUGUUUGACUUAAGCUUAGAUUUUUCUGGAUGGUUUGACUUUGGUUGACUUUGGAUGUUUGUUGAAACCUAUGAAGAAGGAAAGUAAGUAGUAGGGGGAUUUAUCUUUUAUUAUUUUUGGGUGAAUUUUAUGUAAGAUUGCAUAUGGUUAUGAAUGACUAUUGACUAUGUGUCUGUCUGUAACGGGCUUUUUAUAGACCGGAAAAUGACUUGUUUUACAUGGAAUUUUUAAGUUUAGUUUUAUUAUUAUUAUUAUUUAUUUUGAAACGGCAAAUAAUAUUAAUAGGCAAAAGUAAAUACUAAAAGGAAAAUACAAAUUAAAAGUGAUUAAAAGGUGAACAACACUAACUAGCCCAUGAGCCACAGUUUGUAUGACUCCUGCAUUUAACCCACGAACGCUGUUUUUGUUGGAGAGCACCUACAUCUUUUAAAGACCACAUCAUUUAUGGCCAACCAAACGCCAAAUAAGACAGAAGAAUAUUGAGCUUAGGAUCCCUCUUUUACGUGGACAGUUGCCAUAUGAAGCCGCAAAGUCGAUGAACUCGAGAGUACUGGUGAAAUGAGCAGGUUGCAAACCACACCAUUUGAAAAUCCAAUCUUGCACAUUCCUAGUGAACUCGCAGCUAGAGAAAAGGUGAUUCGCUGUCUCCGACUCAUUAUCACAUAGAGCACAACAUGGAUUGUUCACUUUGAUUCCUCUAACAACCAAUGUGUCAGCCAUCGGAAUUCUAUUUAAAAAUGUUCGCCAUACAAAACAUCUAACCUUUAAUGGAAUGGUACUGGACCUGUAUAUGAGUACAAUUUGGAAUCAAUUAACCUUCUUAUGGAAUCCACUGUAUAUCUACCAUCUUGAUUUAUAGUGAAACCGCAACCCAAAUUUGUGUCGGUAGGAACCUCCAUGUCGCCUAUGGCUGAGUAGAGUUGUAAGAGUUCUGUGAGAGCAGCUUUGUUUCUCGGAUCCUGUUUCCAACGCCAUGAGAAACCGUUGGCCGAAAUUCUUUCCUCAAUCAAGCAACAUUUCCUUUUUUCAAGGCUAUAGAGAAUUGGGAAUCGAGCUUGGAAGGUACGAUUUCCACACCAAAUAUCUUUCCAAAAGAGUAUGUUGAUAUUGGGACCCGAGACUAAUCAGAAAUAGUCGCUGUGAUGGAUGCCAACAGUAUCUAGGUUAUUUAUUGCUUUAUAAAUCUUGCACCAGACUCCUUGUGAAUAUUUUCGAGCUAUGUAUGUUACCGGUCUCAUCUUUAGGUUAUGAAUGCUCCCGAUUACUUUUUUCCACAAACUCUCCUCACCAUUGUAUAAUCUCCACCACCAUUUUGUUAGUAAGGCCAAAUUUUACGCCUUAAGCGAUCCCACCCCAAGGUCACCGUGUUUUUUUUUAUCGACAAUAACCUUUUACCAAUCCACCCAAUGAAUUUUCCCAUUCUGAUCAUCUCCACCCCAAACGAACAAAAAACUAAUUAGGGACCAAAUAUGGUGGAACCAAUUAGUUAAUUUAGUUAACCGUGAUAUUAACUCUUUUUUUAAUGUUAUUUCAUUAUAAACAUAACAUUUAUCAAAAUGUCUAUACGUACACACCACAAAGGGAGAAACAUGGCACAAAACAAAUCUAACCAAAUUUCAUAUAUUUAUUUAUUUAUAUUUCACUACAAAUUCAAACAAAAAAAAAAACUUUGAAAAUUUAAGCUAUGAACAUAAACCAAAAACCCUAUAAGAUUUCAAAAUUUUGCUCUUACUCUUUUUUUUUUAUUUUUAUUUUUUAUUUUUUGAAGUUAUAAAUAUAAUCAAAUGUGAAUCCAUAAAUAGCAUCAAUUCAUUUUGCUUUGAAUUUGUCGAUGAACAUGCACAAGAAACUCAACAUAUGAUAGACCAUUUGGAGACUUGUCUUCCACCAUAUACGAAAAGAACAACAUUCCUGAAAUUAUAUAAAAAAAAAACUUAGAUUAAAAAUUUAAAUGGUUUUUAAAAAAAUGUUACACUGCGGGCUUUGUAAAAUGAUGAAAAUGUUACCUGAUUGAUCUCCUUUCUUGCAUAAUUUCAUGCUGCAAGAACGAAAAAUAAUUUUAGGAAUAUAAAUUAAUUUUAAUUAAUUGGGACACAAGUCACAUAACACGUACCGAAGGUAGUUACAUCUUUGGCUUCUUAUUUCAUUUAUAACCUCAUUUAGCUUCUUUGACAAAGGAUUACCAUACUGUUGUAACACAAACUGAAUAUAAAAAUGAAACAAAUUACAAUCAAGUAAAACGACUAUAUUGCUCUUUAUUAUUUUUUUUUUUAGAAAAAAAAAAAAAAAAAAAGGAAGCUUACCUGGGUAGGAAUUUCAUCAAGCGAAGAAACGCCAAAGAGUUUGCGAAUUAUAUCAGGAUCUACAGAGUUUCCAAUAUAAACUAAACAAUCUUCACCAUUUUCAAGAAGAUAGAUUCCAUCAUCACUCACAUGUUCACUACACAGGGGAAUCGCAUGAGGAAUCACACAUCCAUCUGUUUCCUGUAACCCCCAUAAAAUUAAAAUUAUAAAUCAAACACAUGUAAAUUGAUCCAUCUCUUUCCAUAAAAUCUCGACAAAAUUACAUUUCUGGUCCUUGAGUAUACCCGAUUUUUACAAUUUUGGUCUCAAAAAAUACAAUCUACUCUAUUAUAUAUUAUAUAUAGUAUAAUAUACCUUUGAAUUAAGGUCAUGGAUGCUUAUCAUCCUUGGGUACACAAGAGGGAUUGCCAAUUGAGUAGACAAAGGAAGAACAUAAUUAAUCCAAAACGAUCUCUCAUCAAUACGCCCAUCACUUCGCAACCCAAUACUUUUAAUCAAAGCUAAAAAAAAAAGGAUAAAGAUUAGAGGAUGCCUGCCAUUGCCACGUGGCAUAUCCAUAUGCUGACUCAGCAAAAAAGAUGAAAGAUAUACCUACCGAGAGUGUACAGAGGCAAAAGCUUGAGUGCUUCUGGAAGUAUGAGCUGUCCUGACGAUGACACGGUGGCACAAAAUUUGCGAUAAGAAUGAAGAAUGUUGAUGCAAAGAUUUGUCACUUGCUCCCUUACUUGCACUAAUGGGCUUGAAGGGAUUUCAAUUGCAGCUGAAAAAAACAAUAAAUUAAAUAUCAAUAUAUUUUAUUUUUUGUAUUUUCGAUGAGUUUAAUUAGUUGCUUUUCAUCCUUAAUGUAUUUAGUUCCCCCCUCUUUUAGAGACCAAAAUUACAAAAACAAGGACGAAAAAUGUAAUUUACUCAAUAAGAAAGUACCUUGUUUUAAAAAACAUGAAAAUUGGGUGUCCAGGUCAGCAGAGCGGAAAAGAUUACUGAGCAUGGUUGUACAUGGUAAAGAUAAGGUGGAUACUCGUAUUCUUCGUUGCCCAUAUACACUUGUAUAUAAAAGCGCACACUGUAAAAAAAAAUAAACACAAUAUCAUUUAUAAAACAACAAACCACAUUUUAAAAAAUAAAAAAGUACCUGAAAAGCACAUUCUGUGCCAUCUUGCAAUUUAUCAUCAUGUUUUAAGGUUACCAUUAUCGUUUUGUCACAAUCAAUCUGCAAAAACCACAUUACAAUUUACAAAAACGGACCCUCUACUUUCUGAUUUUCACCAUGUUUAGUCCGAAACUGAAAUUUUGGUCCUUAUUUCAAGGUUUCAUAUCAACUUUGAAAGAAAGAUUUCAAAUUUGGACUAAACAUGGUAAAAAUGAGAAAGCACAGGGACUAUUUUUGUAAAUUCACUCAAGAGAAGAGGGACAAAACAAACCGCAGGCAGAUCAAUGUCUGUAGGAAUGCGUUUGCAGAAGUUACCAAAGUAUUCUUCUACUUGAACAGCCUACAGAAAUUAAGAAUUUUAAAUAUAAAUAUAAAUGUAAAAUAAAUUUAAUUUAUUAGAAGCUGACCUGGCUGCAUCUGACACGCAUUACUGCUUCAAAACCUUGAGGUCUUGUGACAUUCCAUCGAAGAUCAUUAUAAAGUUUUGCGGGAUCAGAGAGAGCAGAAAAAGGGUGAUAAUAGUACACCUGUAAAAAAAAAAAAGUCAACAAGUCAACUGCUGAAAAUAUUUUUUUAAAUAAAAAAAAAAGAAAAUGAUAUUACCUGUCCUCCAGUUGUCCUUGGAACAACGGAAACUGAAGCAAUGUCCACAUAACUUUGUGUUGUUAUAAAUACAUCAACAGAAACCUGAAAAAAAAAUUAAAAAGUUAUAAAUAUUUAAAUAUUUAAAUGGGUAACAAUUUAAUAACAUUUUAACCUGGUACUCUGCAAAUUCAAUAGCCAUUGUCUUUAAAGUCCUGUCAACUGGUUGAAGUAAUUUAUGAGGUUAAUGAAAUUAAAAAAAAAAAAAAAGAUAUUAUUAUUACAAAUAUAAAGAAAUAAAACAAUGUGAUUUUGUUUAAUGUAGAAAUUACCUUUUCUCCUGAAGAUAUAUUACUUCUUCCUUCUGCUUCUCUAGCAGAAAGAGCUCCAAUUCCAGCAGAAGGCAAGACUAUGAUAAAAUACAGUAAUAGAAUAAUUAUUAAUAUAAAACUAUAAAUAAUUAAUUAGCUAUUAAAAUUUAAGAUAAAAUAAAGUUCACAGAAACUUACCUGAUUGAAAUACCAAAAGUUUUCCUCCAGUAUUCUUCAUUGCCAAAAAAGCACCCUGAGUGAAACAGAAGCAAUGGUAAAGUAAAAACCUUAAACUUAUGGUAUAAAUAAUAAAAUAAGCUGAUUAAUUUUUUAAAUAUAUUUAUACAUAUAUUUUUAAUUAUUACCUUCAUUCCAGCACCAAAAGCUGAAUCAGCUGUUUUAUUAUUCUGAAACAUAGUUGGGAUGCUUUCCAGCAACAAAUCUAGAUGCUGACGACACUGUGAUCAUAUAAUUAAUUACACUUAAAAAAUUAUUUAUAAGUUCUUGAAUUAAAAAAAAAUAAAAAAUAUGAAAAUUUUAUCACCUCAGAAAGUUGAACAACGACAUCUGAAGGAAGAGGAGUGUAAACAUCAUGUAUGUCUGGCACUAAGAACAUCAAUGGCUGCAAUAAAAAAAAAAAAAAGAACUUGAAGAAAUAAUUCAUUUUGAAAGUUUAAAACUUUUUUUAAAAAAAAAAACCUGUUGCAAAGCGCGUUUCAGAUUAUAAAAAUGGAUAGUUGAGUCAAAUGUAGCAAUUCCCACAAGUGUCUGAGGACCCUCCUGCACCAAUCAUAUUAUUAUUAUUACAAAUCAAUAAUAAAUUAAUUUCAAGAAAAAAUAAAAAAGUGUAAAUUGUUUUUUUUACAAACUUACUGGAAGAUCAGCAACAACUCGACUAAUAGCACUACAAGCUCCAGCUGUAGCACCUGUUUGUAUUGCAUUCAUUGAUACAUCAACAAGAAAGAAAAAGACAGCUGGCAUUGGUUCCCGAACCUAAAAAAAAUAUAAAUUAAAAAGAUAUAGUUUCUAUAAACUUCAAGUUUUUGUUUAUAAAUCUAACCAGAAAUUCUCUUGUAGCAACAAAUUCAACUGUUCCUCUACAUAACUCAGGCCUUUCAUCAGCAUCUCUCCUUCUUCCAUCUGGACCUAAAUUACACUGAUAUUCACGGGGAGUUUCAUCCGUAAAACCUGAAAAUUUUUUAAUUUUUUUUUUAAUCACAAUAAGUCAAUAACAUGAAAUAAUAAAUAAUAAUAUCAAUAUUCAUUAUUUCAAUAAUCAAUACUCACCACAGAGGUUACAGAUAAAUCGUUUUCCUUGAUCAAUAAACUUCAUGAAUGGAUUAAUGUAACCUUUGCAACGUGAACAUCGAACUGGCCCACUUUCACCAAAAUCAACUACCUAAAUUAUUAAUUUUUAGCAAAUCAGAAACUAAUAAUACAAAAAUUCAAAUUUAGUUUUUUAUUUUUUUAACUUUUUUUUUUUAAAUUACUUGAAUAGGCUCCUCAGAUGGAUGAGGGAGGGCUAAGGGUUGCACCAAUAAAGCCAAUGGCAUCCCGGAUGUGGUCAAUAGAUCAGAAGUGCAUGGAAUCUGGUCAAAGUCAAACAACAUAAAGUUUUACUUUUACAGUUUUACAUUAAACUAAGCAAAAAAAAAAAUGGAAAUUAGUCAAAUUACCUGAUUAAUUGUACACCUCAUGUACCUUGGACUACAAUUUCCAGUAUCCCUUGCAAUGAAUUCACUUGAAGCAGGCUUUAGAAUAAAACAACAUAUAACAUAAAAUGUGAUAUACUCAUAUACUCAUAAAUAAAAUAGAAUUUAAAAAAAAAUAGAAAAUAGAAAAUACCGGUGGAGGAUUGGCUUGAUUUCCUUGGCGGGUUUCGUGUAAAAGUAUAGAGGAAGAUGGAAUAGGGCGGGGGAUUUGGUUAGGGUCAAUUCUUGAAGGUCCUGUGCCUACAGUGGGGCCCAUGGUGGGUGAUAUUGUAGCCAUUGAUUGUUGAUUUGGAAGUGAUGGUUGCAUCCCAAACAUUCUGGGAGGUUGAGGAGAGCCAGAGGUAGGUGGAGGUGGGCCAGGUGGCAUGUUCUAAAACAAAGAAAUAGAUUUCACAAGUCAUUUGCAACAUUUCUUAUUAAUAGAAAAUAGAAAAUGGAAACUUACUUGACGAGAUUGCAUUUGCCAUGGUUGAGAUCCAAAUGGAGGUAUACCUUGACCCUGGGAUGAAAAAGGAGGAGGUAUGCCACCUGGAGGUGGUGCUGAAAAAGGUGGAGCUGGUUGUACUGGCCUUGGUAAUGCAUUCAUGGACUGGCUUCCAAUGCCUGAAUGCAUACUUUGCCCCAAAAGGGAAGGACCAGGUGGCAUGGUUUGUCGAGGUGGUGGAGGUCCUCCUAAUGGUCUUGGAGGGUUGGUAGGACCACCUUGCAUGCCAACUGGUCCAAAAGCUGGCGGUCCAUUACUCAAUGGACCACCAGGUCCAGGUCCACCACCAGGGGAGGUUGCAAAGGGACCUGGACGAAGACCUGGAGGAGCCAUUGGUCUUGAAGAAGAUGGAGGAGGUUGGUUACUACCAGGAGGACCACCACCAGUUGGUCGAUUAGAGGCCAUGAAAGGUGGCAAUGCAGCUUGCGGUGGUCCACUAGGUGGUGGCAUUGCACCUCUAGGAACAACACCAGGUGGUGGUGCUCCGGGAAACGGGGAUGAAGGAAAAGGUUGUGGUCGGGGUUGGUGUCCAAAAGGGGGAGGCGGACCUCUAGGUCCACCACCGGAAUUUGGUGGCUGAUUAGGGCGAUUGAUUUGCAGGUUUUGCAUGUUAUUGGCAAUCGAAUUAGGGUUAUAAUUAGGCGGGAGAUUACCGGGUCUAGGUCCACCGGGAGUUGCCAUUGACAACGAUCGUCAGAAGAACAAACAAUUCCACACUACAAUGCAUCAAUAUCAAACUUUUAUGCAUCAAACAUCAAGAAGAAACAGACCUCAUAGCAAUAGAAUUCACACGAAUCAUAAUCGAUAAACUUCACAAAAGCAAACGUAACAUUCGACAUGAUCUGGAAUAAUCCUUUGAAAUCAAGUGAUACACAAGCAAUUCAAUAGACAUACCUGUAGUUGAAUUCCACUGAUCGAACUGUGAAGAUGGAAUUAUGUGAAAAAGCGUUUGUGAAAAAAACCUAAGUAAGGAUCAAUGAAAUUCAAGGUUAGUUAUGUUGCAUCGUUACUGUUUCUUGUUUCUUCUGCAUAAUUGGCUCCAUUUAGGAGUUGUACUUUAUGCAUUACUCAUGGUACAGUACAUUCAUGAGAAAACGGGUCACAGCAGUUCGGUAACUUACGGGUCGAUUUAAAUGGGUUGGGUCGUAAACUCGGCAAUUCGCUUUGUAGGCUUCAGUUUCAGUGGGCCGGAGCCCAUUAUAGUUUUGUUGAAUGUUAUUUUUAUAUAAAUAAAUUGUAUCUUACAUUUUUUGUUGGUUAAAAAAUGCUUCCUAAUUUUUGUUUAAUUUUAUAAAUUCAAAAGUGAACAUGACAGAAUAAAUAUGUAGUUGUAUAAGACUCAUUGAAAAGAAGAGUGUAUUGCAUUUUAUACUUUGUAUGAAUUUCAAAGGGAAUGACAUCUUAAAACAAACAAAAUUACUAUUUAACAUCUCAUUAAAUUUAAUACUUUAACAAAACAUGAAAAUUGUAAUGAAGAGAACGUACUUUAUAAUAAAACAUGAGCAUGAUACUAUUUAAAGUACGACCACUGUCUUUUUCAAAAUUAUUUUACAUGUUAUACUUUAUCAGUUGUGUGUUUAGCUCUUCGACAACUGUGCGUUUUAAAUCAAAAAAACGUCCACAUCAUGGUCUUGUCUACCUUAGUACAAAUAAUAAGUCCAUCAUAUCAUGUUUGUAUACGGUUUUCUCAUAAAUAUCUCAAUAAUAUAAAGUAGUUUAUGUGUAUAUUUCACUCAAAAUUUGUAGUUUUUUUUUUUUUAUAUAUAAAAUAAAAGUUGAUCAAAGUUAUGGUAUCGAUCAAGACCACUCAUAGUGUGUGGGUCAUGUUGUGUUGGACACACAUGUGACUUGAUGAUGACAAUUUAUGGUAUGUGGGCCUUUUUUUUCAUUGGAUACACAUGUGGGUAGAGAUACAUCAUAACCUUAUUAUUGAUACAAAAUCAUCAUUAAACACCAUGUCACAACAAUCAAUCAUACAUGUAACAAUCAAUCAUACAUGUGUUUCUUUUAUGAUCAAAGAUUUUGGAAUGUGGCUAGCAAGAUGUUAAGCGAAAUUACAAAGCACAAACAUUAUUUCGUUAGAGAUGUCUAAUAACUACACAUGCAAUCAUUUCAUUAGAAUGAAAUGUAUUAAAGUACGCAUCACAUGUAGUUUAAACCUAAGACCUCUCUAAUGGAUUCUGUUAAAAUCAUACAUAAAAAUAUUAUGUAUACAAAAUUUCAGGAUUUUGAAACAAGUUCUUUUGUUUGAACUUUUAUAGUACCGAAGAAUCUUGCUCCAAGAAGUAUGGGACCGGGAGUAUGUGUCACGUGUCAAACAUAUCGAGUGUUUGGUUAUGUUUUGAGAAAAACUUAAAAACAAGAAUUUGUAUGUGAUAUUAUGUUAAAUAUAAGAAAUAUUACAUAAACAAAAGAAAAUAUUAAAGUAUAUGAAUCUACUAUAUACUAAGUUUGUAAAAAUCAGUUUUUAUUAUUAAGUUGGUUGAUUAGCAACCACCGAUUAGUUGGUCUAAUCGGUGAUUAGUGAGUGAGUAGUUGGGAACCUUAAUUGUAAUUAGUUAAAUUUUAAAUAAACAAAUAUGAUUAAUAUUAUAACAAAGUAGGUAAUACGAUUAAUAUCAUAAAAAAAAGUUAAUAUGAGUAAUCAAUACUAAUACUUUUUCAAAUAGUUUUUAUUGAAAUAUAGCAUCUUCAACAUUUUUAAGAUUCAUUGGUUUCAAUAACUCCACUAAUUGUCUACACAUGGAUUAGUCAUUAGGAGCCGUCUAGUCGGUUGCGUACCAUCUAGUCGAAUUGUUUACAACUCUGUUGUUUACGACACCAGUUUAUAAAAUCAGUUAUAGAAAAAUCAAAAAACUAAUAAUCAAGUCAAAGAAAUAAAAACGUAAAUUAUAAUAACAAAAUCACUUUAAAACAAUUUCAUCAUCACGCCACCACCACUAUCAGUUAAAAAAUAAAGAUUUAAUAACAUCCAUCAUAUAAAAAGUUGAAUUUAAGGAAAUAAAAUAUGUGAUAUAUAAGAAGGUAUCGUGCCCUACACAAAUACGAUAAGCUCAACUAUCUAUUUUUUCUAGUUCUUGACAUAUCUACGUCACCUUUCAAAUAUCUUAAAAUUUGUAUUACCAUAAUGUUUACAAUAAUUCAAAAGCAUUAUAAAUACGUUAAAUUAGUCAUAUCUUAGAAACCAUUUUUAGUAUAUUUAAUUGGUUUAAUUAAUCAUUAUGCCAAUAUUUGGUCAUGUUAUAUCAUAAAAUAUUUAAGUUGAUGGAGCAACAUACCCACUUUAGGUAUUAGUUUGGCAACUGCCAAAGUAGAGCACUUGCUUUAAAACAAAGUUAAGAUAAUAUUUAUAUUAUGAUGGAUAAAAUUUGUAAAUAAUAUUUAUUUAUAGAAAGUUAUAAUGUUUUAUUUUUAGGGGACUCCUUCAGUUAAAUUAAGUUAUUUAUAUUUGGUUUGAGCUAUAUUUGAGGUAUUAACAUGUAGUUGCUAGCUAAAAAAAAUAGAUACUAACUGAAAAACUAGCUUUCGAAAAAAUAACGUUUGAUAAAAACUAAGUUUAAUGAAACAUACAAAAUAACAUAAAAAAAUAUUUAGAAAAAUAUGUAUUUAAAUGAAGGAGUGAGAAGUGGUGGAGCUUGGCAUAUAAUUAAUUAAUGGUAUAUUUAUAAAAAUUUUAAAAUUAAUUAGGAAUAUAAGAAUGUUAGUUUAAAUAACUUUUUAAAAAGACAGUGUGAGUAAUUUUUAGAAAACAAUCUUAUAAUCUAUUUUUUGGUUUGUUAAAUAUAACUAAUUAUAUAUAUAAAAAAAAAAAAAAAAAAACCUCUAAAAUUAGGCUAGUUGUAUACCAAAAACAGUGUUAAACUUAAAACAUUUUCUCUUUUUUUUUUUAUCAUUCUAAGAUUUAAUAAAUAUAUAACGUAAUAAUCUUUAAGAUUAAAUAUUAAAAUGAAUAUUGUAGUUUCUACAUGUUAAUAUUUUAAUUCAUUUCGCUCUUUGCUGUAUUCAUCUUUAUUUUAAUUUUAAUUAUUUAUUUAUAAUGCUCAGUAAGAAUCAAAACGUUGAACAAGUCGAUUGUGAUUUAUACAAUAUCGGAUUUUAUUAGAGGUGGGUAACGAGUAGUUUUGUACGGUUUGAGUCGAUCAACUAUUUUGUCUAUUUUUUAAUACUUUAUUAAAUAAUAAUAAAUAAUCUUAAAUACAAUCAACACUGUAUACAAUUUUUUGUAAAUAUCUUUUUACGAGAGUUGGGAGCAAGCGGUUCCAUUAUGGUGUUCAUAGUGGCACUGAAAUUUUUUUUUUUUUCGAAUGCAGUGUAAAUUUUUUUGAAUUUUUGUUUUUCACUAUUGUGCCACUACGUAAAAAAAAAUAUAUCACUGACAAUAUCUACUACAAAAUCUUACGUCCGACCCUAUUUUCAAAUAUCUUAAAUAACUUUUAAAAUGUUUCAUGAUCGAAAUUUUACGUUUUGCAUCUUAUAAACCCAUGACUGUAAAAUAUAAUAGAGAUUAGAAAUUCUAUUGAAAUGAACUAACAUCCAAAUUUAGGGGCUGUUUUUUUUUUUGUGUGAAGAUCUGCGCAACCACUUUUGUCUGAGCCACGCAGACAUAUGCCCUUGCAGAUUGUUUGUUUUUUGGAAGUGCGUAAAUCAGAAAACGUCUGCGCGAGGUCUUCCUGGCGUAGACAUGUGCCACUGUCUUCAAAGGUCUUCAAACCUCAUUUUAACCUAAACAAAAAAAAAACAUGGGCCACCAUGCAAUUUUUUUUUUUUUGUUAAAAAUGUAUUUUUAAUGUUUAUGACAUGAAAUUAAGUUUAAAAAAUCAAUUUAUUUUAACAUCCCGCAGAUGUUAAAAACAAACAGUUUUCUUAUUGCAGACUGCAGACAUUUGGUCCACCUCUUCAGCCGCAGAGGCUUGCAGAUAUGGUCCGCAGACUGCAGACAUUUUGACUUCAAAAAAACAAACAGCAUCUUACUCGUCUUGUUAAUCCAAUAUAUAUUAUAACUUGACGUUGAUUAAUAUAUCAAUGAUGGAAUCAAUUUUUACUACUAUUUUGACAAUGAUCAAAGUUAUCCUAAUUUUUAUAGCCCCUCCACAAUGAAACCAUACAAUAAUGAUUAGUGGAGGAGCAAGAUUUGGUGCCGAAAUCAAUAAAAUGGUUCAUCUUUAAUUUCAAACUAGUUAAAGAAGACCACAUCGUGUUUUCAAUCGACAAGAAGUUGAACCAAAUGAUGAAAUUGUUGAAGAAUGACUUCAAACGAGAGGAAAGCAACUUCAAUGCAUAAAAUCAAAUUGUAACCGUAGAAAGAUAUGAAAUUGAAUUGAAAAAAUCUCAAAUAAUUUUGCAAGAACUAGAAACACCCAAAUUAGAGAGGGGUUUGUGGAGGCUAGUACCACCCCUAUCCAAUGAUUUUGAAAAAAAAAACUCAAAACAUCUUUUUGUUGAUUUUAUCGGUAUGGAUCGGGAAAAAACAAACAAAUAUCAUCAUUAGACAUCCCUUUUUGGAAAGUAUCUAUGCCCAAAUUAGUUGUCGGGGCGGUGUAAUUAAUGUAGCUUUUGGAAACCAAAAACUAAGACUUUAACUAUUUGGACCUACUAAUGAUCAUCCAAUCUAUGGUGACCAUUUUAUGAUCGAUACUAUCGAGGAUUAUAUCUAUAAGCGCACACACACACACAUACACACACACACACACACACACACACACACACAUAUAUAUAUAUAUANNNNNNNNNNNNNNNNNNNNNNNNNNNNNNNNNNNNNNNNNNNNNNNNNNNNNNNNNNNNNNNNNNNNNNNNNNNNNNNNNNNNNNNNNNNNNNNNNNNNNNNNNNNNNNNNNNNNNNNNNNNNNNNNNNNUUAAUGUGUAAUAAAAUGAACCUUGGUCAUGGAUCUAAGGGUCAUUUUAUAUGAUUCGCCCUGAAGUCAAAAUGUGGUCAACAUAGUCAAAUAGAAUGUAAGUGAUGAAGAAGAUUAAAUGUUCGUCUAGUAGUAGUGCAAGACAAAAGGCUACUUUGAUAACACCAUAUAAUUUGUUUUGAUAACACUACAUAACUCAGGAAUGAAAAUGACAAGAUAGAAUUGCCUAAUAGGAAGAAAUGUUAUGAAAUGAGAUCUCAUGAUAUGAUCAAAUGAUAAUUCUAUAAGAAUUAGUUAGAUUCAAUGAAAACUAUUCUUCAUUGGAAUGUAUAUGUAUAACCUUCUUCGUUAAGGACAUUACCAAUCUAUAUCUUCAAGGUUGUCUGUAAAAACUUCUAUUCUUCUAUCUUCUUGAUCUUGUUGCCCAAAUGAUACCUCACUAUGAAGAUAUUCCUAAAUGAUGGAGCUAUAACAAAUGUUUGUAAAUAUAAAUAUCUUAGAUAAGAUUUUGUCACGAGUAAGGAACAAUAUCAAAGUCUUUUUAUAGCCUAACGGGACGUUGGUAUUAUCGAGUAUGAGUUAUGUAUCUUAUAAAUUUUUUGACUUUAUGUCCACCUAAUCUCAGAACGAAAAGUGCCCAAGUGCUCAUCCAUAAUCUCCAUGACACCCGCCUUGAUCAUACCGAAGAUUACAGGAGUUUGCUCAAGAAUAUUGCGGGUAAUCUCUGAUGAAAUGAACUCCCACAUCUAAUCAUACAUAUGUCUGACCCUAGAGCCCGAACUCAAACCGUUGCCAGAACCUCCUCAUGUGGCCACCAUACUAAAAAUAGACCACUAAAACCAUCAGAACAUAUAUAUAUAUAUAUAUAUAUAUAUAUGUAUAUAUAUAUAUAUAUACACACACACACACACACACACAUCAAGGAAUUCCAUAUUCUACAAGCUUCUUGGUAUCAUCGUGACUUUCCUUAACUCGAGUACAAGUCCUCUGCUUCCAGUAGUACGGGCCCAUACUACCUUCCAUAUCUAUCCGUACUUUCCUAAAGGAUCACCAUGAGUUAUCCAAGUCACUCCCUUUUCAAUCCAAACAAUCCUCAAUAAGACAAGGCUUUCAACACUGAAUCACCUCCUAGGUUUUACUAGGAUACCACCACACCACGCUCCGCCAUCAACUGUAGAAGGAACUCCCCUAACACCCUCUAACUAGCUUACGAAUACAAUUACAUACCAACGACACCAGAUAAUUCUUCUAAUGAAAGGUCUCACACUACAACGAUUGGACUAAAACAAGAGCUGCGUAAUAGAGUAAAAACCUAACCUUCUAAAAUUAUCUAGUCUCAAUAAUAUGUAAGUUGGCAUAUUUUAUUACUAGUUAGAUGAUGUUAAUGGGAACUCCUAAAAGCACAAAGCAAGCAACACUUGAGCAUCGAGUAAUCAGAAUCAAAGCAUGUCCUAAACAUGUAAUCCUAUCAUCGACUGAUCAGUACUAGAAUGCAAGUCUACAGGCUCAUAUAGUAGGCAUAUAAAGGCAUCUCUCCUAGCAUUCUAUCAUGCAAUCCUGAGCAGAUCCUUAUCCAUAAUCUAGCAUGCGAUUCACAGAUUCACAAUUCAAAGCAUAACACAAAACAUAUAUGAGUAUUUUCGGAAAACUUACUUGAGCUCGGUCGAUUGCAUGCACCGCACCCAUUUCUUUUAUUAGAAAACUCCUUUUAUAAAACAUUUCUUUUUAUGAAAAAUCUACCAAACCCUCAGUUUAAGUUCAGACGUACCCGAGAGUACGCCUGAAUCCCUCAAACCAACGCUUUGAUACCAACUUGUAACGUCCCAAAACUCAAAACCAUUUUUUUGUUUUUAUAUUAAAUAAAACAUCAACCAAACAUGUUUAUCAAAACCAAAAGGAAUUCAUAAUGUAUUCAUAAUCAUCCAAAACACAUCAGAGUCAAAUAAGUGAAAAUUCAUGGUGUGUGCGAUGUAAUCAUCCCGAAUUCUUACCCUUUAAUCUGGAAGUACCUGAAACAUAAAUUUAAACCUUAAGCACGAAGCUUAGUGAAUUCCCCAAUAUACAACAUACCAUACAUAUCUGCCAAAUCAAGGCUGUGCCGGGUCUAUUUCACCCCCGAGUCUAUUUUAACUCAUGCAUUGGCCCAAAGCCAUACCAGGUCUAUUUCACCCCUGGUCUAUUUCACCCCCGAGUCUAUUUCAACUCAUAUGUCAGCACAAGGCUGUACCGGGUCUAUUUCAUCAUCCGAGUCUAUUUCACCCCACAUACAUAUAGUAAACAGACACGUAGGAAUAUAACACAUACAUCAGGAGUCACAAAGACUACAAACACAUAACAAAUCAUAGUGUCCUAGUAUAGUGAGAAAACUCACCUCAGUCUGUUGUAACUUAAACAAAUGAUCGGGCUGCUGAGCUAGAGAAUCCCCUCACCAACUAAUCAAAUAAAACCCAAUUAAUAAUUGUCCUAUAAACCAUAACCGGGAAUCUAGUUCAUUUGUCCAACACCUAGGGUAAAAGUCCAUUUUACCCUUCCCUCACUUGACCCAAUAAACGAGGCACAAACUCAAUGGCACUAAAAGCCCAAUAGUGGCCCAAUUUCCUAAAGGACACCCAAAGCCCAAUUGUCACACCCCUGAACCAAGGAUGGCGGAAACGUCCAGGGAUGGAGGACUUCAUGUGUAGUAUCAUAACAACAAUGGUAAUAGUGAUGAAAGUAAACACAACCAACAUAUAUAUAAUUGAAAAAGUUACAUCAUUGUAUGUAUUACAUGUUUCAAAUUCAAUUACAAUAUGUUGACAAAAUGUAAUAAGUUUGACGCCUCAACGUCCCAUCCUCAAAAGUACUUUAUUACCUGUUUAGUGAUUUCCUGAGAAUACAAGCAGUUUGAAAAAAGUGUCAACACAAGGGUUGGUAAGUUCAUAAGUUUUUGUAUAUAAUUAUGAAAAAGCUCGUCAUGUAAUUGUAUAGUUGUUCCAGAAAAAUCCAAUAUUUUCCUUAAAAUGAAUAAUGUAGUCUUGUAUCCAAAGACUGAAAUAUAUGAGUAAUCUUUCUUAUUUGCAGAAAAUAAUGUGUGUUUAUUUCAACGCAAACGCGUAUGAUAUCAAUGAAACUCUCGUAUAUUCUUAAGUUUGUUAAUACUUUCUGUGAGCUAUUAUAACCAUACUAUGACCUAGGUGGCCUGAAUACGACGUUCUUCGGGCGUCGUAGAACUGAAAUGACACUUGUCACCCGUAGACCUGCAGGUCCAACUGUAGCUAGCAGCAAGGUGUGGGGUGUCAAACCCAAUAUAGAUCUAUAUACAACUAUCACGCUCUCCUUCCAGGAGACUCUGGUUACAAUACAGGACUUAUGAUUUAUGUGAAGAGGAUGACUCACAAAGUUAUUAACGAAUUUACACUUAAUCAUAAUGAAAGUUUCCUUUUUGUAAUGUAUGCAUAUUGAAAUCCAUCGUAAACUAUACCUAUUAUAGUUUGGCAAAACGAAGGUAGUAACAGUAAAGUACGUAAUUUUUACUUAAUAUAGUUUAUUUAACGUUUGUGUGUAAUGGGUAUACUUCAAUAAUAACGCUUUGUGUAAUCUAUGCUUUGUCUAGUAAAAAUCCAUUUGUUAACAGGUUUAUGUCUAGAUACUAACACAAGAAUGUCGUAUAUUGCAAAUAUACAUGAACACGUAAUAAUAUGCACCCUGCUCAACAUGUUACAAGGUGUUAUGAAAAUUAUAUGAUGUUAACUAAAUUAGACCUUCCUGCACUGUUUUAGAAAAGCCAUAGAAAAAUCAUACGAAGUCGAAAACUAAAUCCGUAAAUUCUGAGAGUUCCCAAAAUGUGUCUAGUUUACUCAUAAUUUUUAUCAUGAUUUUUAAUGACCUCCAACUUGGGUGAAAAAGUCCAUAAUCACAGACUGGUCCGGAUUGGUGCUUGGAAUGAUAGGCAGUUUUGUAAAAAUCACCAUAAAUUGUAGAAAAAUCGUAUGGGGAUGUGCAAGUAGUCAUUUUAAAGCUAAGAAGUGGAACUACAUGCACCUAAAACAGUUUUGAAAACUAAAAUGUUUAAGGUGUCCAAAACAGUCCGUGAAUGGAGUCUAACUUUUCUGAUGAAAGCUGUUAGAAGAAUUUAAAUAUGUUCUUGAUGUUUUGACUUGUAUUCCCCCCCUAAAAACUUGAGAAAACAUGAAAAUGUAGGGGUAUGAACUCACCUUGUGUGAUUUCAGUGGAUAAGUGUUGAAGAAGAGAAGUGUUCAACCCAAGAACACUAGAAGAAUCGCUUGAAGAUUCGAAGCUCUAACACAAAUAUAAUGGAGUUUGUGUAAGAUAUCCAUGAUUUGAGUGGAAAUAAUUGAGAUAAUCAUAAAGGAAAUGGAUUAUGCUUACCAAAGGUGGAGGAAACUCUCAAGAUCAGCCCUUGAAUCUCGGAUUUCUAGAGAGAGAAAGUGAGAGAGAAAGGAGUUUGAUCUUCUUGUGAAAUGAGAACAAAUGAGAGAAAAUGAGGAGAGAGGAUGAAUAUCCAGCUCUCAAAACAUGGAGAUGGCUUGUGAGGGAGGUAAAAAGUACAAGGUAGGGUGGGGAGGAGUGUGGGUUGUCAUGGAGUGGGUGUGGGGGUUGCUUGCGUCAUAACUAAGGUAAGGUCAACACUCUUCUUUUUGUACUUUACCAACUCCUUUUUAAAUAAGAUUUUAUCCUUAAAAUGUGAUUAAAUCAUUAAUUUAGGGGUCUUAUAAUUAAAAAUAAAGUUUUGGGUGAAAAUCCCAUGUUAAAAUAAUUAAAAAUGGGUUUAAAACGCAAAAAUACGCAAAAACGGGGUGAAAAUUGCAUUUUCCAGCGAGUUUCUUCGGACCUAGGCCGAAGCUCGGUCCCUAGGCCGAAGUCCGGUCAGGCGGGGCUUGGUUCGGACGCGGGUGGUUGAUUCCGGAGGCGAAGGCGCGAAGGGUGGCUCGGU